Long non-coding RNA from Astatotilapia calliptera (eastern happy), 917 nucleotides. The record is from Ensembl. Lineage: Eukaryota; Metazoa; Chordata; Actinopteri; Cichliformes; Cichlidae.
AGACGAAUUAAUUUAGCGCUGGGACUGGAACUAGUGUUCUAGUUUGUGUUUAUCACGGACUCUUUAGGGCGCUGCACACUCGCUCUCUCAGCACAUUCGCGCUCAGAAAGAAGCGCGAAUCGUUAAAGCAGACUAACGUGGAAACAGGUGAAGAGACGAAGACAUCAGCAGGAGGGAGGACGACCCCCCAGUGUGAGGACGACCCCCACCACAUGAAUGGGGGACAGGAGGCGCAGCUUCCAGCCCAGCCGUUUACAAGGUGGAGGUGGAUUCAGGGGUGGAGUCUGUCCUGCUGCCUUGUAAAGCCACACUUCAGCUGCUUAAAGACGUUAGAGUGGAGUGGAAGGACAUGAAAGACAGGAAGGUCCACGUGUAUGAGAACAGCUCUGACAAGAAUAAAGAACAGGAUGAAGUUUACAGAAAUCGAACGAAGAUGAAUGAAGACCCGCUGACAACUGGAGACCUCAGUCUGAGCCUGAAACACCUACACCUGCACCAUUAGCAGGGAGGGAAACAUCCUGCUGAAGAAACAAGUGCUGCUUACUGUCAGAGGGUGUCGGGUGGAGGUGGAGGAGGGGGCGGAGUCUGUCUGGUUGCCCUUUAAAACCACAGCUCAGCUGCCUGAAGACACUCUAGUAGAGUGGUGGCACCGUCCUGAGAAGCCUGACAAACAGGAGCGGGAUUAUAGAGACCGAGUGAAGAUGAAAGACGAGCGUCUGAAAAGCAGACAGUUCAGCCUGACCUUUAAACGCUCCACAGAGAGCCAGAUACAGCUGUGUGGCCUGGAGCCAGGAAACAUCAUCGGAGUCGUGCUGCUCACAAUUACAGGUGUUUGUUCAUUUUCAUUUGGUUCUCUCUGCUUUCACUUAUUAUUUUAUGGUGUUUGUGUGAAGCUGCCUGCAGGGAGAGAUCAGCAC